Molecule: ribosomal RNA, 254 nt
Filed under: uncultured bacterium
Lineage: Bacteria
Description: partial 16S ribosomal RNA
Rfam family: Bacterial small subunit ribosomal RNA
Source: RNAcentral
CACGUAGGGCGCGAGCGUUGUCCGGAAUUAUUGGGCGUAAAGAGCUCGUAGGCGGCCUGUUGCGUCCGCUGUGAAAGCCCCGGGGCUUAACCCCGGGUCGGCAGUGGAUACGGGCAGGCUAGAGGUAGGUAGGGGAGAAUGGAAUUCCCGGUGUAGCGGUGAAAUGCGCAGAUAUCGGGAGGAACACCGGUGGCGAAGGCGGUUCUCUGGGCCUUACCUGACGCUGAGGAGCGAAAGCGUGGGGAGCAAACAGG